Molecule: long non-coding RNA, 1855 nt
Organism: Dermacentor albipictus
Lineage: Eukaryota; Metazoa; Arthropoda; Arachnida; Ixodida; Ixodidae
Source: RefSeq, a predicted model, not a curated record
GCUUUGUGCUCCCUUAUAUGUCUAUAUUAAUAUGACUCGGCGCAGCUGCCUGCAAUGCCCUCACGUUUAAAAAAGACUGCAAAAUAUAUUGUCCUGGUGAAGGUCUUGUUAAGCGUUUUCCUCCGGCUGACUUCGAAUUAUGGAAAAAAGAACCAAUGGAUGAAAUAAAUCUCUAGCCGCAUAACCCUGUUUGCUGGAAUUUGGAGAACGUUGGCAACAGCAAGCGAUGAGAAAUCAGCCACUGAUGUUGCUCUCCAUCUUGGCCGGCGCCCUGUUGUGCCGAGAAACAUAUUCUUAUGAGUGCCAGCCUCUCGAAAGCAGCAGUUACUACAGUUUUAAUGACAUGGCCCAUUUCGUCGUCUCGGAGCAGAGAAAUGUUACCUUCUAUAACACGGUCCUCCAGGUCACAUGUGUAUGUUCAGUGAAUGACCUCGACCAAUUCCACGAGAUCGUAUUCACCAUCGCACCAACUUACUGCAACUCUCGUAUCGACUACUACAGUGAAGUCUGCAGACCCAUCACCACAGAUGCAAUCGGGAUAUGCUGGGCCAUGGUGCGAGGGCAGCUGUCGGACGAACAGUGGUCUCUUUCUGCCUUCACCUGCAUGCCUCCUGAUCAACCAGAUGCCUUUAGCUCACUCUGCCAUUAAAUUGAGUAAUUACUCAGCGCUAAACUCCCUGCUUGUGUCCGUUCAAUGCAAGCGUCAGCACUAAAAACGCAUUCCAUGUCAUUGCGGACCCUCUAAAGCUCCAGGCGCGGGCUGGGAAUGCGCCCAGACCGAAAAGCACGGUGGCGUUGGCACCGAUGCGCCGACGGCGUGCAUGCGGCGGUACCUCCCAUGCACAUUGGAAUAGAUAAUAUUUAAUCAAAACAAAACUUGGUAGCUCGGACCUUCAGGUCAUGUGAUGAUCUCAGCGAUGGCCCUUUGCGAAAACAAGGAACGUACGUCUAGCGUCGUCCUUCAAGUGUCUGCAGUAAAUUGGCUUUGCGAGCCUGAACAGUUCCAUAAGCUUCAAAUACAUACUUCUCACUUCCGACUUCAUACUUCCGACUCUAAUUCUCCAAGGCCACCAUCAUCGUCCUCUUCUUCCCACAUUACCGACUGUGACAAUAUUAUUUGGGUCGAAAAAAGAAAAGAGUAAAGAACAAACACAAUAAGAACCCCUGUUCGAAGCCGCCAUCGCUGUUGUCCCUGGUUCCUGCUUGCCUCGACAGAGCGACCGUUUCGUUGACCUGCAGUGGUGUUUUGGCUGAGUAUCGGGUGGUUUAAGGUGUCUCAAUAAGCGUAUUUUAGUUCCUGGUUGAUUGGCAUUCCUUGCGUCAGCCGUCUUGAGCUGAUGUCGACCAGUUCUCCUGGCCAGGCGCGAUCCGCCUGGACAGCAUCCCUGCCACCUAAUGAAUUGCCCAUAGAUUUAUUUUUUCGCAGUGGCGUCAGCACCAUUCCUGUGGCGCUUGUGCCUACCAGUGGAGGCUCCAUCAGGAUCACGAAUCCACAGGCUGUCCAGAAGGCACUCAAGGCCACGUCUAACCACUUCCAGACCAUCACUGAUGUACGAGCGUUCGGACGGGGAGGUAUAGUGUGUCGUUCACCCGACCAGACCUGUGUAGAAGACCUCUUGAAAUGCACUUCAUUCGCUUCCACCCCGGCACCUAAUUAAACCGCCCGAUUCUUGGCCAAUCCCCCACUGUGGGUAUGUGCCACGGCCACUAAGGACAACAACAACAACAACAACAACUGACUCAACCACUGAGCGACGCCGCAUUUCAGUUAGAGCAGGACGCAUGCGCGUGUUUUAUCCCUAUCUCCUAGUAUACUUAGCUGUUUGUGCUUUCGUAAAUAAACUCCUGUAUGGAA